RNAcentral lists this ribosomal RNA (744 nucleotides) under Stenotrophomonas sp. 111117_136_C_F7. Its description in RNAcentral is "bacterial SSU rRNA". It matches the Rfam family "Bacterial small subunit ribosomal RNA", at positions 20 to 753 of the family's 1533-position model. The record is from RNAcentral. Lineage: Bacteria; Pseudomonadati; Pseudomonadota; Gammaproteobacteria; Lysobacterales; Lysobacteraceae.
UGGCUCAGAGUGAACGCUGGCGGCAGGCCUAACACAUGCAAGUCGAACGGCAGCACAGGAGAGCUUGCUCUCUGGGUGGCGAGUGGCGGACGGGUGAGGAAUACAUCGGAAUCUACCUUUUCGUGGGGGAUAACGUAGGGAAACUUACGCUAAUACCGCAUACGACCUUCGGGUGAAAGCAGGGGACCUUCGGGCCUUGCGCGAUUAGAUGAGCCGAUGUCGGAUUAGCUAGUUGGUGAGGUAAAGGCUCACCAAGGCGACGAUCCGUAGCUGGUCUGAGAGGAUGAUCAGCCACACUGGAACUGAGACACGGUCCAGACUCCUACGGGAGGCAGCAGUGGGGAAUAUUGGACAAUGGGCGCAAGCCUGAUCCAGCCAUGCCGCGUGGGUGAAGAAGGCCUUCGGGUUGUAAAGCCCUUUUGUUGGGAAAGAAAAGCAGUCGAUUAAUACUCGAUUGUUCUGACGGUACCCAAAGAAUAAGCACCGGCUAACUUCGUGCCAGCAGCCGCGGUAAUACGAAGGGUGCAAGCGUUACUCGGAAUUACUGGGCGUAAAGCGUGCGUAGGUGGUGAUUUAAGUCCGUUGUGAAAGCCCUGGGCUCAACCUGGGAAUUGCAGUGGAUACUGGGUCACUAGAGUGUGGUAGAGGGUAGCGGAAUUCCCGGUGUAGCAGUGAAAUGCGUAGAGAUCGGGAGGAACAUCUGUGGCGAAGGCGGCUACCUGGACCAACACUGACACUGAGGCA